AACGCGAAGAACCUUACCUACCCUUGACAUGCCAGGAACUUGCCAGAGAUGGCUUGGUGCUCGAAAGAGAGCCUGGACACAGGUGCUGCAUGGCUGUCGUCAGCUCGUGUCGUGAGAUGUUGGGUUAAGUCCCGCAACGAGCGCAACCCUUGUCAUUAGUUGCCAUCAUUAAGUUGGGCACUCUAAUGAGACUGCCGGUGAUAAACCGGAGGAAGGUGGGGAUGACGUCAAGUCCUCAUGGCCCUUAUGGGUAGGGCUUCACACGUCAUACAAUGGUCGGUACAGAGGGUUGCCAAGCCGCGAGGUGGAGCCAAUCCCAGAAAGCCGAUCGUAGUCCGGAUUGGAGUCUGCAACUCGACCCCCGUGAAGUCGGAGUCGCUAGUAAUCGUAGAUCAGUAACGCUGCGGUGAAUACGUUCCCGGGUCUUGUACACACCG
This 437-nucleotide ribosomal RNA is filed under the name uncultured bacterium. Its description in RNAcentral is "bacterial SSU rRNA". It matches the Rfam family "Bacterial small subunit ribosomal RNA", at positions 958 to 1392 of the family's 1533-position model. The record is from RNAcentral.